Molecule: ribosomal RNA, 221 nt
Filed under: uncultured bacterium
Lineage: Bacteria
Description: partial 16S ribosomal RNA
Rfam family: Bacterial small subunit ribosomal RNA
Source: RNAcentral
CGACGUAAGAACUUGCCUCACAGCUAGGGACGACAUUUAGAAAUGAAUGCUAAUACCUGAUAUUAUGAUUUUAAGGCAUCUUAGAAUUAUGAAAGCUAUAAGCACUGUGAGAGAGCUUUGCGUCCCAUUAGCUAGUUGGAGAGGUAACAGCUCACCAAGGCGAUGAUGGGUAGCCGGCCUGAGAGGGUGAACGGCCACAAGGGGACUGAGACACGGCCCUU